UUAAAGUUGAAGAGAUGAAACAGAAAGGACACUUUCCUACUCAGAUGAAAUCUUCUGAAUGAGCAGGUUCUUGCAGGUUUGAUCAAACCAGAAUUGUUGAAGACAACAUGGACAACACAGUGAGAAAAGAAAAAAGAGAGAGAGACGGGGCCAAAAACUUUGGAACACAAGGAAAAGAACGGAAAAAAGAAGUAGAGGAACUUUUUCACAGACUUCAACUUGAACUCAAGUUCAACAAUAAACUGACAGCUGCAGAUGUUCUUCAGAUAACGGCACAUUCAUUACAGUCCCAUGGGUCUUGCACUGAGGAAGAACUGGUUCACAUAUUCUUACAAAAACUACUAACGAUGAACUACAGAGCAAGAAGUGUCACCGUUACAAGGACUAGUGAGCAUCACAGUGAAAAACAACAAAAGGCCAAACAAUCAUCUGCAGCCGGUGUUGAUGUGUUUAGUGUAAUUUUUGAAGAACCAUCUUUGUCUGAUGAAAGUAAAAGCAACACAGACCCUAUUCACCCGAUGGAUGUUCAAAUGGCUGUGUUUCAUUGUGCUGAUGGUUUCCUGAAGCAGCUGAUGGUCACUAAACUGUCCCAGUGCCGAUACGCUCUGCCUCUGCUUGUUCCUGAUCCAUUCACACAACAGAUUGUGUUUCCUCUUUGGACAUUUAGAGAAAUUAGCCAGAGCUGGAAAAUAAAAAACA
This is a long non-coding RNA of Labeo rohita (rohu), 699 nucleotides long. RefSeq lists it as uncharacterized. NCBI's taxonomy places the organism in Eukaryota, Metazoa, Chordata, Actinopteri, Cypriniformes, Cyprinidae. The transcript is spliced from 4 exons. The record is from RefSeq and is a predicted model, not a curated record.